RNAcentral lists this ribosomal RNA (261 nucleotides) under uncultured archaeon. RNAcentral describes it as "partial 16S ribosomal RNA". It matches the Rfam family "Archaeal small subunit ribosomal RNA", at positions 748 to 1008 of the family's 1478-position model. The record is from RNAcentral.
CAGCCGUAAACUAUGCGCGUUAGGUGUAUCGGUGACCACGAGUCACCGAGGUGCCGAAGGGAAACCGUGAAACGUGCCGCCUGGGAAGUACGGUCGCAAGGCUGAAACUUAAAGGAAUUGGCGGGGGAGCACAACAACGGGUGGAGCCUGCGGUUUAAUUGGACUCAACGCCGGACAACUCACCGGGGACGACAGCAAUAUGUAGGCCAGGCUGAAGACCUUGCCUGAAUCGCUGAGAGGUGGUGCAUGGCGUCAGUGACU